This 337-nucleotide ribosomal RNA is filed under the name Microascus sp. CGMCC 3.15222. RNAcentral's name for it is "eukaryotic LSU rRNA". It matches the Rfam family "Eukaryotic large subunit ribosomal RNA", at positions 269 to 626 of the family's 3401-position model. The record is from RNAcentral. Lineage: Eukaryota; Fungi; Ascomycota; Sordariomycetes; Microascales; Microascaceae.
GUAGUUUGGGAAUGCUGCUCAAAAUGGGAGGUAAACCCCUUCUAAAGCUAAAUACCGGCCAGAGACCGAUAGCGCACAAGUAGAGUGAUCGAAAGAUGAAAAGCACUUUGAAAAGAGAGUUAAAAAGCACGUGAAAUUGUUGAAAGGGAAGCGCUUGCGACCAGACUCGCGCCCGCCGGAUCAGCCGUCGCUUGUCGGCGGCGCACUCCGGCGGGCUCGGGCCAGCAUCAGUUCGCCUCGGGGGGAGAAAGGCGGCAGGAAUGUGGCUCCUCGGAGUGUUAUAGCCUGCCGCGUAAUACCCUCGGGCGGACUGAGGACCGCGCGUAUGCAAGGAUGC